GGCAGAAUCAAUUUUUCUUACACAUUUCUCUAAUUCUCAAGAACACAAUAAUAUGAAUACAUAACCAUCCCAACUAGUGCAACCAUAUUCCACAAAUGUUGCUCCAGCGAAAUGGAUCACAGAGUAAGACAUAGCCGAAUGCUGCACAAAUUCUAAAGUUUCCAGAAAUCGAAUUUCGCAAAUUGAAUUUUUGCCCAACGUUCAUAAUCAUAAUCUUCCAUUCACACCACUAUAUUCCCUAAAUUACCAAACAACACCAGCUUCUGGAAACAACUAAAAUACGAAAUGAAUUUUGGCUUACCUGAUGGUAAAAGAUAUCAGAUACUGGGUGGACACUAUUCCACAGACUAAAAAUGGGGAAGAGAUGGUUAUGACGUCUCGAUUCCAUAAAAUAGGGAAGCAAGACAGGCUGUCGGAUGUGGUUGUUGCUGUGGCGAUUCGUCGAUCGGGCUGCCGGAGGUGUUCUUCACAGAGGCGACUCGUCGGUCGGUCGGCCGGAGCUGGAUUUCGGUCGGGCAAAGUUGCAGGCGAUUUUUAGGGUUCCAAAUGGUGAGAGAAUUUUUGUUUCCUUUGUUGUUGUUUCCUUUCGUUAUUGGGGAAAAUUCGUUCUUCAAGGCAAAGACACGUCAUUCUGUGAAGGUUCUAUGAAAGAACAAUUCUGUACUUCUAGCAGAUCGCACAUAUAAAUAACUCCUGGCUAUGCUCUCACGUAAUGAAU
RNAcentral lists this long non-coding RNA (718 nucleotides) under Olea europaea subsp. europaea. The record is from RNAcentral. Lineage: Eukaryota; Viridiplantae; Streptophyta; Magnoliopsida; Lamiales; Oleaceae.